This 333-nucleotide long non-coding RNA is filed under the name Gopherus agassizii (Agassiz's desert tortoise). RNAcentral describes it as "lncRNA (ENSGAGG00000014804.1)". Lineage: Eukaryota; Metazoa; Chordata; Testudines; Testudinidae. The record is from RNAcentral.
UGACUCAGUUAUGAAGAAUUGGGAAAACUGCCUUAUUGUGGUUUCCUUUGUUGAUGGCAGAUUCAGAAGACAUAUGUGAUCAUGUGAAUGUGGCUAGCAGAAGAGAGGUGGCUCUAGUGCAUGUUGCAUUCUGGAUUUGUUUUGUGCCUGCGAGGAGUUGAAUUCCUGAGCACUGGAGAAGAUCUAACCAUAUUGGCACUGGCUCUGCUCAUGACAGUACAGUGGUACCAACCUUGUGAGAAUAUCCUGAGUGUGCCAGAAGGAGAGCAUAUUGCACAGGAGGGAAACCUGUCUACAAAUUGCUACGAACUGAAAGGGUCUCUACAUUCCUGA